GCGGCUAUGCUGGAAUUGGUAGACAGGCUUGGUUGAGGGCCAAGUGGGGUUUCCCCAGUGAGAGUUCGAGUCUCUCUAGCCGCACCA
Molecule: transfer RNA, 87 nt
Filed under: Candidatus Pelagibacter sp.
Lineage: Bacteria; Pseudomonadati; Pseudomonadota; Alphaproteobacteria; Candidatus Pelagibacterales; Candidatus Pelagibacteraceae
Also listed under: 1 other name
Description: tRNA-Leu
Rfam family: tRNA
About the family: Transfer RNA (tRNA) molecules are approximately 80 nucleotides in length. Their secondary structure includes four short double-helical elements and three loops (D, anti-codon, and T loops).
Source: RNAcentral